CUCGUAGGUGGCCAACUAAGUCAGACGUGAAAUCCCUCGGCUUAACCGGGGAACUGCGUCUGAUACUGGAUGGCUUGAGUUCGGGAGGAGGGAUGCGGAAUUCCAGGUGUAGCGGUGAAAUGCGUAGAUAUCUGGAGGAACACCGGUGGCGAAGGCGGCAUCCUGGACCGACACUGACGCUGAGGAGCGAAAAGCCAGGGAGCAAACG
RNAcentral lists this ribosomal RNA (208 nucleotides) under uncultured bacterium. RNAcentral's name for it is "partial 16S ribosomal RNA". It matches the Rfam family "Bacterial small subunit ribosomal RNA", at positions 568 to 774 of the family's 1533-position model. The record is from RNAcentral.